RNAcentral lists this ribosomal RNA (1033 nucleotides) under Micrococcus luteus. RNAcentral's name for it is "bacterial SSU rRNA". It matches the Rfam family "Bacterial small subunit ribosomal RNA", at positions 46 to 1094 of the family's 1533-position model. Lineage: Bacteria; Bacillati; Actinomycetota; Actinomycetes; Micrococcales; Micrococcaceae. The record is from RNAcentral.
GCUUAAACAUGCAAGUCGAACGAUGAAGCCCAGCUUGCUGGGUGGAUUAGUGGCGAACGGGUGAGUAACACGUGAGUAACCUGCCCUUAACUCUGGGAUAAGCCUGGGAAACUGGGUCUAAUACCGGAUAGGAGCGUCCACCGCAUGGUGGGUGUUGGAAAGAUUUAUCGGUUUUGGAUGGACUCGCGGCCUAUCAGCUUGUUGGUGAGGUAAUGGCUCACCAAGGCGACGACGGGUAGCCGGCCUGAGAGGGUGACCGGCCACACUGGGACUGAGACACGGCCCAGACUCCUACGGGAGGCAGCAGUGGGGAAUAUUGCACAAUGGGCGAAAGCCUGAUGCAGCGACGCCGCGUGAGGGAUGACGGCCUUCGGGUUGUAAACCUCUUUCAGUAGGGAAGAAGCGAAAGUGACGGUACCUGCAGAAGAAGCACCGGCUAACUACGUGCCAGCAGCCGCGGUAAUACGUAGGGUGCGAGCGUUAUCCGGAAUUAUUGGGCGUAAAGAGCUCGUAGGCGGUUUGUCGCGUCUGUCGUGAAAGUCCGGGGCUUAACCCCGGAUCUGCGGUGGGUACGGGCAGACUAGAGUGCAGUAGGGGAGACUGGAAUUCCUGGUGUAGCGGUGGAAUGCGCAGAUAUCAGGAGGAACACCGAUGGCGAAGGCAGGUCUCUGGGCUGUAACUGACGCUGAGGAGCGAAAGCAUGGGGAGCGAACAGGAUUAGAUACCCUGGUAGUCCAUGCCGUAAACGUUGGGCACUAGGUGUGGGGACCAUUCCACGGUUUCCGCGCCGCAGCUAACGCAUUAAGUGCCCCGCCUGGGGAGUACGGCCGCAAGGCUAAAACUCAAAGGAAUUGACGGGGCCCGCACAAGCGGCGGAGCAUGCGGAUUAAUUCGAUGCAACGCGAAGAACCUUACCAAGGCUUGACAUGUUCUCGAUCGCCGUAGAGAUACGGUUUCUCCUUUGGGGCGGGUUCACAGUGGUGCAUGGUUGUCGUCAGCUCGUGUCGUGAGAUGUUGGGUUAAGUCCCGCACG